UGGAAUGUGUGACAAGUUAACCUACUGCCA
RNAcentral lists this non-coding RNA (30 nucleotides) under Rattus norvegicus (Norway rat). The record is from RNAcentral. Lineage: Eukaryota; Metazoa; Chordata; Mammalia; Rodentia; Muridae.